UUAGUAUUGUUCUGAUGAAGCCCGUUGCCAUAUCAUGAACUGUUGAGGCAGGCCCUGGCCAACAACAAUCAAGGAAUAAAACCCUACAAAUAGCUUUUUGAUACAGAAGGCAACUGUGGUGUAAGGAACAUUGAUGCUGACACUUUGUAAAGAUAUUUAUUUUGAAGAAUGAUAUCACCUAACAGGCAGUCACCUCAUAUAGAAGCCAGAAGAAUACCAUUGGAGAAUAUCAUCCAGACACCUGUGUGAGGAGAAGAACUCUGACAGCAUAUUUGGCGUGAAUCUUUCUUGGGAACAUUGGCCAAGAGCUGAUUAAAGAUUUUUUUCAAAACAAACUCUUGCAAUGCAUAUGUUCUCUAUUUGGCAGGAAACCACUUCAAGUAUAUUUUCUCCUAAGUGUCAAAGGGGUAAUAGAAUUCUGUGAAAUUAUAUGUUGCUCUAUUCGUGCCCAACUCUAGCCUUGAUUUACAGAAAGGCUUUUCUCUAGAAAGAAAACAACC
This is a long non-coding RNA of Hyaena hyaena (striped hyena), 500 nucleotides long. RefSeq lists it as uncharacterized. Lineage: Eukaryota; Metazoa; Chordata; Mammalia; Carnivora; Hyaenidae. The record is from RefSeq and is a predicted model, not a curated record. The transcript has 3 exons.